AACAGGAUUAGAUACCCUGGUAGUCCACGCUGUAAACGAUGUCGACUUGGAGGUUGUGCCCUUGAGGCGUGGCUUCCGGAGCUAACGCGUUAAGUCGACCGCCUGGGGAGUACGGCCGCAAGGUUAAAACUCAAAUGAAUUGACGGGGGCCCGCACAAGCGGUGGAGCAUGUGGUUUAAUUCGAUGCAACGCGAAGAACCUUACCUACUCUUGACAUCCAGAGAAUUUGCUAGAGAUAGCUUAGUGCCUUCGGGAACUCUGAGACAGGCGCUGCAUGGCUGUCGUCAGCUCGUGUUGUGGAAUGUUGGGUUAAGUCCCGCAACGAGCGCAACCCUUAUCCUUUGUUGCCAGCACGUAAUGGUGGGAACUCAAAGGAGACUGCCGGUGAUAAACCGGAGGAAGGUGGGGAUGACGUCAAGUCAUCAUGGCCCUUACGAGUAGGGCUACACACGUGCUACAAUGGCAUAUACAAAGAGAAGCGAACUCGCGAGAGCAAGCGGACCUCAUAAAGUAUGUCGUAGUCCGGAUUGGAGUCUGCAACUCGACUCCAUGAAGUCGGAAUCGCUAGUAAUCGUAGAUCAGAAUGCUGCGGUGAAUACGUUCCCGGGCCUUGUACACACCGCCCGUCACACCAUGGGAGUGGGUUGCAAAAGAAGUAGGUAGCUUAACCUUCGGGAGGGCGCUUACCACUUUGUGAUUCAUGACUGGGGGGAAGUCGUAACAAGGUAACC
This 731-nucleotide ribosomal RNA is filed under the name uncultured bacterium. RNAcentral's name for it is "bacterial SSU rRNA". It matches the Rfam family "Bacterial small subunit ribosomal RNA", at positions 771 to 1501 of the family's 1533-position model. The record is from RNAcentral.